RNAcentral lists this ribosomal RNA (266 nucleotides) under uncultured bacterium. Its description in RNAcentral is "partial 16S ribosomal RNA". It matches the Rfam family "Bacterial small subunit ribosomal RNA", at positions 92 to 354 of the family's 1533-position model. The record is from RNAcentral.
CGACCGGCGCACGGGUGAGUAACACGUAUGCAACCUGGCCGUCACAGGUGGAUAACCGGAAGAAAUUCCGACUAAUACAGCAUAACACUCCUGAGGGACAUCCUUCGGGAGUCAAAGGAGGCGACUCCGGUGACGGAUGGGCAUGCGGCGCAUUAGGUAGUUGGUAGGGUAACGGCCUACCAAGCCGACGAUGCGUAGGGGUUCUGAGAGGAAGGUCCCCCACAUUGGAACUGAGACACGGUCCAAACUCCUACGGAAGGCAGCAG